AGUUAUCUAAACUAAGAAUAAGAAUCAAAAACAACCUCAAAAUUAUAGGGCAAUUCUAACCGUUUAAAAGAAUUUCUUCCAUAGAAUGACAGCAUCACGAUUUGGAAUAAUAAUCUUCUUAAUGGUAGAUUUGGCCUUCAAAACAAAUGCAUAUCUAAAGAAGAUUGUAUGCCUGUGUGCAGUUGGACUGAAGAAAGCUAUCCAAUGGAAAACUCCCAAACGGGUGCUGCUACAACAGGUCUUAUUAUCAAUGGGAUGCCUGAAAAAGUCAGGGAAACCAAGGAGGUACUGACGUAUGGCGUGGAUGGUUUCAUCAUCGCUAUGGGGGGAUUCAUCGGGCUCUUCAUAGGAACUACUAUACUAGAUUUCG
Long non-coding RNA from Eurytemora carolleeae, 370 nucleotides. RefSeq lists it as uncharacterized. The record is from RefSeq and is a predicted model, not a curated record. Lineage: Eukaryota; Metazoa; Arthropoda; Copepoda; Calanoida; Temoridae. The transcript is spliced from 4 exons.